GAUGAAGACGUAGCGAAAUGCGAUAAGUAAUGUGAAUUGCAGAAUUCAGUGAAUCAUCGAAUCUUUGAACGCACAUUGCGCCCGCCAGUAUUCUGGCGGGCAUGCCUGUCCGAGCGUCAUUUCAACCCUCGAACCCCUCCGGGGGGUCGGCGUUGGGGAUCGGCCCUUUCACCGGGUGCCGUCCCCCAAAUACAGUGGCGGUCUCGCCGCAGCCUCUCAUGCGCAGUAGUUUGCACACUCGCACCGGGAGCGCGGCGCGUCCACGUCCGUAAAACACCCCAAACUUCUGAAAUGUUGACCUCGGAUCAGGUAGGAAUACCCGCUGAACUUAAGCAUAUCAAUAAGCGGAGGA
RNAcentral lists this unclassified non-coding RNA (352 nucleotides) under soil metagenome. RNAcentral describes it as "partial contains 5.8S ribosomal RNA, internal transcribed spacer 2, and large subunit ribosomal RNA". The stretch from base 1 to 119 matches the Rfam family "5.8S ribosomal RNA", at positions 35 to 154 of the family's 154-position model. The record is from RNAcentral.